Non-coding RNA from Cricetulus griseus (Chinese hamster), 2319 nucleotides. The record is from RefSeq and is a predicted model, not a curated record. Lineage: Eukaryota; Metazoa; Chordata; Mammalia; Rodentia; Cricetidae.
UAGCCCAGCGGGGCUGGCGGGCGGGCGCGAGGAGCGCGUGUGCCCGCGCCCCAGAAACCCGCGGUCUCCUGCACAGGCAUCUCAGCAUCCUUGUCCGACCUGGCCCAGUGACUCCUGAAUACUCGGUCUUUUUUAUGUGCAAUUUUAAGAUGGAAAUGCCCACAGUUGCUGUGACUUCUGCUCUGGGAGCCGGCAGCAGAGGACUCCCUCGCCGAGUCUAGCCCCAAGGGGGAUAAGACCCAGUUAGCGCUAACAUUUACUGCAAUCUACACAAUGGUCUUCUGUGCCUCUAUGUUUAAUCCCAAUUUUAUAGGAUAAAAUGUUAAAUUUCAACUAACCGGACCUCUGACCAAUCUCACCCCUCUGUGGAAAAUAACAGACCAUUGUUAUUAGCACACCAGGAGGCCAAGAAGGCAGAGGCGGCAAAGGGUGAUCUGUCAGCUGCUGGGCUGGCUGGACGAGAUGUGCACGAGAUCAAAAGGAAGUUUCCACAGACCUGUGGCCUGACUGCUCCCAAAGAAACAUUGGAGUGAUCCAGAGUGACAGAUGUUCUGCAAAUCAGCUGUCUUCAUUAAAGACAUGACCUUCAUUGAGGCCAUGGAAAUCAAAGGUUGAAUUAUGAAACAAGAGGCUGUGACUAACCACCUCACUCAAAAACUUGGUCACAGAAGAAGUGGUUGUCUGAAGAAGUGCCCUCCCUGAUGGAGCAAAGUUACUUACUUCAAGAACAAGUCAUGUCAGAGGCCAGGACAGCAAUGCUCACAGGAAGGGUAGACUGUGCAGCCUGGAGUAAGAAAGUUUAUUGUUUUAAAGAAAGCAAUGGCUAAUAAAGUUUCAGUAAUUCCCUACCAUGCUCAUUUCUACCCCAAUAUAUGUUGUCUGGUGUGACUAAAUCUCCACAGCUGCUCACUAGUUUCCUCUGCAUCUUGAUGUUUUUGUAACUAAAUUUCUCUGUAUUCUGCAUUUAGUCAAGAAUAGAUAGUAACCUUUUUAAGGCUGUGAAUUGAAUCUCCCGCAACAGAGUCAUCCCCCUGAGAAGGAGGGUGGUGCUGGCUUGAAGCAGGCACAUAGAAUGUUAAGUUUCACUUUCCCAGCUGAAGGCUCACAAGACCAAGUAACAGAGACUACAAAGAAAGGAAAGUGUCUAUUACCUGCCCAGUCAUUCUCUGUCCUCUGACAAUGUAUUGCCUCACUGGAGGGCCCUUCAAACUUAUUACUAAAUGUCUUAUUUUAGAAAACAGAUUUUACACAUAAGGGAAAACAGAAAUAUUAAAAUGAUUCCAAUGUGAUAUUCACUCAGCAUUAUUUUGUGUACAACUAUCUAAUUGUUUAUCAGCCUUGAACAUAACACAUACCAAACACACCACAACACAUAAAUCUAUAUAUAUAUAUUUUUUCUUUUUAGCGGACUAUUUAGUGGUGAAUUGCAGUCAGGAUUCUUCAGUUCUGAAUAAUUCACUGUGUAUCUCCUAGAAGCAAAGAUAAGUUAUUACAUAAAAUUAUCAUCAAAUUUGGAAACUUUCUAAAAUCUAGUCACUAUUUAGAUUUGGCUAAAAUGAAUAAUCUCAUUAAUUUAGAUUUUUCAUCAUUAUUUAGAGACCUUUAUAGACUCAUGUGUUCAGUUAUAAGAAAAAUAAAGAUGCUGGAAACAUCUUAUGUUCCCAGGACAACGUUUUUACAAAACUAUUGUACAAAUUUCAGUCCCAGCAUAGCACAUCUCCUCACAGAAGAAUGCCCCAUAGGUCUUGCUCCUUCACUCCUUCCCUAAGUCUUGACGCCCAUCCAUCUGAUUUCCAUAUCUAUAAUUUUGUCAUUCAAACAUGUCUGUGAACAAGAUUUCCUAGAAAGAUGCUGCAGGGACCGUCUAACAGAUUGGAACUGCAGUGAUGUGGAGAGGCAGACAUGCUGCAGGUCCAGAGCCCAAUUAUACCUUAUUUGGGCUAACUUUAGCCCCCCCCCCCCCAAUAAUCAUUUCCUUGCCUACCUCUAUGUAGGACUGUAAGUCCUGGCAUUGACAGAUAAAACCUUGGGAACAUAUUAACUUGAGACCACUAGCUUCCACCAACCCAAAAGCUGAGAUUGUCAUCAGAUAGAAUCUGAGACCUAUAGGAGAGAUUCCCCCAUCUUGCUUUAACCACUUCUCUGACGUACUCAACACAGUAUUUUAAAAUUGCCUUGACUUAUGGCUUUGUUGGUUCUGCGACUAUGAAACUGUUUUUGUGUGGGAACAUGGGACCUGGGGUAACUUAGCUCUGUGUUUCCUGUGCCAUGGUCACUCAAAUUUGGCUCCAGAAUAAACUUUUAUUCCCUUUGCUGCUA